GCCAGCGGUGAUAGCACGUUGAAUGCGCAAGUUCCCCAGGGAUCACUGAAGUUAAGCAACGUUGCGCGUGGUUGGUACCCGGCUGGGUGACCGUCUGGACAAUCACGAGCUUUUUCCC
Molecule: ribosomal RNA, 118 nt
Filed under: Diaphorina citri (Asian citrus psyllid)
Lineage: Eukaryota; Metazoa; Arthropoda; Insecta; Hemiptera; Psyllidae
Source: RNAcentral